CCUCAGGAGGGGGAUAACGGUUGGAAACGACCGCUAAUACCCCAUAUGCCGAUAGGUGAAAUGAAUUUCGCCUGAGGAUGAGCCCGCGUCUGAUUAGCUAGUUGGUAAGGUAAAGGCUUACCAAGCCUUCGAUCAGUAGCUGGUCUGAGAGGAUGAUCAGCCACACUGGGACUGAGACACGGCCCAGACUCCUACGGGAGGCAGCAGUGGGGAAUUUUCCGCAAUGGGCGAAAGCCUGACGGAGCAACGCCGCGUGAGGGACGAAGGCCUCUGGGCUGUAAACCUCUUUUCUCAAGGAAGAAGAUAUGACGGUACUUGAGGAAUAAGCCACGGCUAAUUCCGUGCCAGCAGCCGCGGUAAUACGGGAGUGGCAAGCGUUAUCCGGAAUUAUUGGGCGUAAAGCGUCCGCAGGCGGCCUUUCAAGUCUGCUGUUAAAGCGUGGAGCUUAACUCCAUUAUGGCAGUGGAAACUGAUAGGCUUGAGUAUGGUAGGGGCAGAGGAAAUUCCCGGUGUAGCGGUGAAAUGCGUAGAUAUCGGGAAGAACACCAGUGGCGAAGGCGCUCUGCUGGGCCAUUACUGACGCUCAUGGACGAAAGCCAGGGGAGCGAAAGGGAUUAGAUACCCCUGUAGUCCUGGCCGUAAACGAUGAACACUAGGUGUCGGGGGAAUCGACCCCCUCGGUGUCGUAGCUAACGCGUUAAGUGUUCCGCCUGGGGAGUACGCACGCAAGUGUGAAACUCAAAGGAAUUGACGGGGGCCCGCACAAGCGGUGGAGUAUGUGGUUUAAUUCGAUGCAACGCGAAGAACCUUACCAGGGUUUGACAUCCUGCGAACCUCUUAGAAAUUUGAGGGUGCCUUCGGGAAUGCAGUGACAGGUGGUGCAUGGCUGUCGU
RNAcentral lists this ribosomal RNA (893 nucleotides) under uncultured Prochlorococcus sp. RNAcentral's name for it is "bacterial SSU rRNA". It matches the Rfam family "Bacterial small subunit ribosomal RNA", at positions 130 to 1055 of the family's 1533-position model. The record is from RNAcentral. Lineage: Bacteria; Bacillati; Cyanobacteriota; Cyanophyceae; Synechococcales; Prochlorococcaceae.